GUCCCAGCCGCCGCGGUAAUACGGAGGGUCCGAGCGUUAUCCGGAAUCAUUGGGUUUAAAGGGUCCGUAGGCGGGCGAUUAAGUCAGUGGUGAAAGUCUGCAGCUCAACUGUAGAAUUGCCAUUGAUACUGGUUGUCUUGAAUCGUUGUGAAGUGGCUAGAAUAUGUGGUGUAGCGGUGAAAUGCUUAGAUAUCACAUAGAAUACCGAUUGCGAAGGCAGGUCACUAACAACGUAUUGACGCUGAUGGACGAAAGCGUGGGGAGCGAACAGGAUUAGAUACCCUGGUAGUCCACGCCGUAAACGAUGGAUACUAGCUGUCCGGUUCACAUUGGUGAGCUGGGUGGCCAAGCGAAAGUGAUAAGUAUCCCACCUGGGGAGUACGUUCGCAAGAAUGAAACUCAAAGGAAUUGACGGGGGCCCGCACAAGCGGUGGAGCAUGUGGUUUAAUUCGAUGAUACGCGAGGAACCUUACCAGGGCUUAAAUGUAGUCUGACAGGGGUGGAAACACCCUUUUCUUCGGACAGAUUACAAGGUGCUGCAUGGUUGUCGUCAGCUCGUGCCGUGAGGUGUCAGGUUAAGUCCUAUAACGAGCGCAACCCCUGUUGUUAGUUGCCAGCGAGUCAAGUCGGGAACUCUAACAAGACUGCCGGUGCAAACCGUGAGGAAGGUGGGGAUGACGUCAAAUCAUCACGGCCCUUACGUCCUGGGCCACACACGUGCUACAAUGGCAGGUACAAUGGGCAGCCACUGCGUAAGCAGGAGCGAAUCCACAAAACCUGUCUCAGUUCGGAUCGGGGUCUGCAACUCGACCCCGUGAAGCUGGAAUCGCUAGUAAUCGGAUAUCAGCCAUGAUCCGGUGAAUACGUUCCCGGGCCUUGUACACACCGCCCGUCAAGCCAUGGAAGCUGGAAGCACCUGAAGUCCGUCACCGCAAGGAGCGGCCUAGGGUGAAGCUGGUAACUGGGGCUAAGUCGUAACAAGGUAACC
RNAcentral lists this ribosomal RNA (988 nucleotides) under uncultured bacterium. RNAcentral describes it as "bacterial SSU rRNA". It matches the Rfam family "Bacterial small subunit ribosomal RNA", at positions 505 to 1501 of the family's 1533-position model. The record is from RNAcentral.